This 207-nucleotide ribosomal RNA is filed under the name uncultured bacterium. Its description in RNAcentral is "partial 16S ribosomal RNA". It matches the Rfam family "Bacterial small subunit ribosomal RNA", at positions 568 to 774 of the family's 1533-position model. The record is from RNAcentral.
CGCGUAGGCGGCGUGAUAAGCCGGUUGUGAAAGCCCCGGGCUCAACCUGGGAACGGCAUCCGGAACUGUCAGGCUAGAGUGCAGGAGAGGAAGGUAGAAUUCCCGGUGUAGCGGUGAAAUGCGUAGAGAUCGGGAGGAAUACCAGUGGCGAAGGCGGCCUUCUGGACUGACACUGACGCUGAGGUGCGAAAGCGUGGGUAGCAAACA